Molecule: ribosomal RNA, 409 nt
Filed under: uncultured Diversispora
Lineage: Eukaryota; Fungi; Glomeromycota; Glomeromycetes; Diversisporales; Diversisporaceae
Description: partial 28S ribosomal RNA
Source: RNAcentral
GAGAGUUAAAUAGUACGUGAAAUUGUUGAAAGGGAAACGAUUGAAGUCAGUCAUGCUAGUGAAAAAUCAGUUUGACGGGUUUUGAGUUCGGGAGUAGAGGCAGGGUAAAACCGUUUCUCUUUUGAACUUGGGAUUUGUUAGAUGUACUUUUUCUUUGGCAGGUCAGCGUCGAUUUCGGAGGUUGUAAAAUACUUGGGGGAAAGUAGCUCUGCUUCGGGAGAGUAUUAUAGACCCUGGGGGAUGCAGCCUGCGGGAUCGAGGAUUGCAGCAAAUGCCUUUGGCUUGUCGCCUGAUCUCUGGAUGUUACCUCGCUUGUGACAACAUUCUUGCCACCUGUGGGUACUAAUGCCCAUUAGGUUAGAGCGAUCAAAAAUUUUGCUAAGGAUGCUGACGUAAUGGCUUUAAACGA